GGGACAACGCAACGGUUCAGGGUGGACACACAGUGGACGAGGUUGAAGCCCCUUCUUGGGCAACGCUUUGGCGCGUGCGUCGCUCGGGAAGCGGAGGACACUGCGUGCAUUCAUGCCGCUGCCGGGUUCAAGUCCAAGGUGACACAAACGUGGAUGAACACGCAGCCGAGCUCCGUCCGAACUUCCAGGCCCUGAGAGGAAACGCUCACCUCACCGAGUUACUCCUGUCCAGGUACCGAACCAGUAACUCCAUGACCGCCUGCGAUUGUUAUCCAUAUAAUUGAUCGACGGCGGUUCACAUCAGGUUGACGCGCACACGCUUCACGAGCAGCCGUUUCCUCAGCUGGGUUUUCAGUGUGACGCGCAGCUUGCACUCAGCCAAUCAGGAAAUCAGUUUCAGGCGGCGUCCAACAUGCGGUCCGAGGUCCACUAGGGGUCUCUACGGUCCGCCUGAGAAGUAUUGGAUCGCAUGACCUACGAGGCCGCACCACUAAACGCUGAAAUCAAAACGCCUUCCCAGCCAGUUUGAUUUAAAAGAAGUACACAAGUCCAUCACUAUUCAGGUGAAUGCUUGAUAAGUUAACAUCUUUUUUCAAAUUUGUUUUGAAUUUAAGGAACUAUUUACACAUUUUCUCAUAAUUUGUGUGUGCUUUUAUUUUCCUUCAAAUUUCAACAUACACAUUUAAGCUUGUCAGAUGUUUUUUUUUCUUUCUUCUGCAAUUUUGCCCAACUGACAAAAUAUAUGGUCACAAUUGUGGACAUGCUGGAGCUUAUCCCAGCUGUUAGAGGGCGAGAUGUGGGAGGCAACCUGGGCAGAUCCAUGGUCGGGUCCAUCACAGGGACACAUACAGAGAACAACCACUUUCUCUCUCUAUCACUCUCUCACACUCACACAGACACAAUUUGGAGCAUCCAAAUAACCUGUUUAAAAAAUAUUAUAAUUUCAAAAUUGUUCUUUUAAACUUCUAGUUUUAGUGUUGCAAAUUGUGUUCCUGAUUUCACCAAUAUGUCUGCACUUAAAGUAAAAAACAAACAUGUCUUUACAGCCCCUGCAGCCUCCUGCUGUUUGAUACUGGUCAGGUGAACUGCAUAAAGUUUAAAAUAAUGAUGGCAAAAGGUUGCAGGUUAAAGUAAUCAAACAAUAGGCUCAAAGGAUGAUUUGUGCAAGAUUUGAUUUGUGACUAUGGUAGUUUCAUGGACAAAACAUAGUUUGCUGAACAGUUUUUUCCCUGUGACAGGUGUGAAAAAUAAAAACACUCAGCCUUUCCUCAGAAAUUAGAUCAAUAUUUCAAGCCCUCAAUUAAUAAUCAGCAACACAUUAUUUAUUUAAAAACACAAAAAUAAAUAUUUGAUCCCAUAAAAAUUACAAAACCCAUUUAUUUACACUUUAGCAAUUUUCCCACAGACACACUUAAGUAACAGUAAAGUAAACAAAGGCUGAUUAAUGCUGGUAAACUUGUCUGUCUCUGUUCUGCUUUGAUGAUGUAGAAUCCAUCUACUCUACUGGACACGUCUCUUGAACUGGAACUGAUUCAAAUGGUGUCUUAUCUUCAGACGAGGUUCCCACGUCCUGCAGAGAAAUACAAUAUAUUAAAUGUUAUAAAACCUCUUGCUGUCCAACAGCUUGACACAUUAAUAAAUACAGAGACUGGCAUCUGCUGUUACAAAAUCAGUUGCCUUUGACCAGUCACACCAUUACAUCUCUAAUGAUAGAUCUUAAUGAGAUAAGUCAUAGACAACAGUGAUUUUGUUUUACUGUAUUUUGCAAACACUCACCUCAACAUCAUUCUGCGAAGGCCGUCUUGCUGCUGGCUGAGGUCUGGAUGCUGCAUCCUCUUUGCUGGCUUCAUCUUGUGAACUGUUCUUCACGUUCAAAGGUUUUUUCUUUGACUGAGCUGAUUUUGAUUCAGUGGGUUUAGUUCUCGUUUGGACAGCACCAUUGCCACCACUUGCUUCAGCUGGGCCCUGCUGGGUCUCUGGGUCUGACAUUGCAGAGUCAGUCUGCUGAGCCUCGCGCUGUGCAGCAUCCAUCUCAUCCUCACUAUAAGCACCAGUGCCAUUUCCUAUAUUUUCAACAAAUACAGGCCUGUGGACUCGUCUUUGAUGAACCUGGUUCCUCUGUAAUCUGGGAUCAUUGGCUUCAUUCAAUUGAGCUUGUUGUGGUGCAUCUCCUACUGCUAAGGGAGCCUGGCCCUCAAUUCUCUGGAGCGGAGGCUGCGGUUCUUCCAGUUGUGGAGCAGGUGGAUCCCUCCGGUGGCGCCGUAGAGGAGCAGUGAUGCCGUGCUGGAAGGCUGCCUGAACGCUUCCAUACAUGAACACC
Long non-coding RNA from Betta splendens (Siamese fighting fish), 2320 nucleotides. RefSeq lists it as uncharacterized. NCBI's taxonomy places the organism in Eukaryota, Metazoa, Chordata, Actinopteri, Anabantiformes, Osphronemidae. The record is from RefSeq and is a predicted model, not a curated record. The transcript is spliced from 2 exons.